UGUGUGUGUUAGUGGAAGCGUCUGGAAAGGCGCGUGAUACAGGGUGACAGCCCCGUACACAAAAAUGCACAUGCUGUGAGCUCGAUGAGUAGGGCGGGACACGUGGUAUCCUGUCUGAAUAUGGGGGGACCAUCCUCCAAGGCUAAAUACUCCUGACUGACCGAUAGUGAACCAGUACCGUGAGGGAAAGGCGAAAAGAACCCCGGCGAGGGGAGUGAAAAAGAACCUGAAACCGUGUACGUACAAGCAGUGGGAGCACGCUUAGGCGUGUGACUGCGUACCUUUUGUAUAAUGGGUCAGCGACUUAUAUUCUGUAGCAAGGUUAACCGAAUAGGGGAGCCGAAGGGAAACCGAGUCUUAACUGGGCGUUAAGUUGCAGGGUAUAGACCCGAAACCCGGUGAUCUAGCCAUGGGCAGGUUGAAGGUUGGGUAACACUAACUGGAGGACCGAACCGACUAAUGUUGAAAAAUUAGCGGAUGACUUGUGGCUGGGGGUGAAAGGCCAAUCAAACCGGGAGAUAGCUGGUUCUCCCCGAAAGCUAUUUAGGUAGCGCCUCGUGAAUUCAUCUCCGGGGGUAGAGCACUGUUUCGGCAAGGGGGUCAUCCCGACUUACCAACCCGAUGCAAACUGCGAAUACCGGAGAAUGUUAUCACGGGAGACACACGGCGGGUGCUAACGUCCGUCGUGAAGAGGGAAACAACCCAGACCGCCAGCUAAGGUCCCAAAGUCAUGGUUAAGUGGGAAACGAUGUGGGAAGGCCCAGACAGCCAGGAUGUUGGCUUAGAAGCAGCCAUCAUUUAAAGAAAGCGUAAUAGCUCACUGGUCGAGUCGGCCUGCGCGGAAGAUGUAACGGGGCUAAACCAUGCACCGAAGCUGCGGCAGCGACGCUUAUGCGUUGUUGGGUAGGGGAGCGUUCUGUAAGCCUGUGAAGGUGUACUGUGAGGUAUGCUGGAGGUAUCAGAAGUGCGAAUGCUGACAUAAGUAACGAUAAAGCGGGUGAAAAGCCCGCUCGCCGGAAGACCAAGGGUUCCUGUCCAACGUUAAUCGGGGCAGGGUGAGUCGACCCCUAAGGCGAGGCCGAAAGGCGUAGUCGAUGGGAAACAGGUUAAUAUUCCUGUACUUGGUGUUACUGCGAAGGGGGGACGGAGAAGGCUAUGUUGGCCGGGCGACGGUUGUCCCGGUUUAAGCGUGUAGGCUGGUUUUCCAGGCAAAUCCGGAAAAUCAAGGCUGAGGCGUGAUGACGAGGCACUACGGUGCUGAAGCAACAAAUGCCCUGCUUCCAGGAAAAGCCUCUAAGCAUCAGGUAACAUCAAAUCGUACCCCAAACCGACACAGGUGGUCAGGUAGAGAAUACCAAGGCGCUUGAGAGAACUCGGGUGAAGGAACUAGGCAAAAUGGUGCCGUAACUUCGGGAGAAGGCACGCUGAUAUGUAGGUGAAGUCCCUCGCGGAUGGAGCUGAAAUCAGUCGAAGAUACCAGCUGGCUGCAACUGUUUAUUAAAAACACAGCACUGUGCAAACACGAAAGUGGACGUAUACGGUGUGACGCCUGCCCGGUGC
Molecule: ribosomal RNA, 1560 nt
Filed under: Escherichia coli
Lineage: Bacteria; Pseudomonadati; Pseudomonadota; Gammaproteobacteria; Enterobacterales; Enterobacteriaceae
Description: partial 23S ribosomal RNA
Rfam family: Bacterial large subunit ribosomal RNA
Source: RNAcentral